CCCACUUCCGCUUCAUCCUCCGAUCAACAGGGAUGCAGUUGUUCGCGAAGUCACGCAAAACGAUGACUUUCGGUGUCUGUGCGGCGUCUGCAGUCCGGAGCAACCAGACGAAUACUUGUGCUGCACCUCAGUGAGCCAGGUUGCAGCUCUGUGUGACAGUGCUGGCGUGCAGUGCAUCACCGAGCACCGUCUGUUCCACGACUUCUGUCUGCGGAGGGAAAUGCUGGCGGUGAAUGCACGCCAGUACUGCCGCUACGACUAUCGGCUGCGGCUGUUGGAUCUGACAGACAACAGGUGUCUGAGGUUCACAGCCUACUCUAUAUUUGCCAGUUGGGUCUGGGGCUACCUCGGACCUAGAAAUAUGCGACAAAUUCCAGGCUGCGCUGUGCGAGCGAUUCGAAGAGAGCACCCGUCGCCUUCAUACCAAGGGUAUCUUUCUUAAGAAUGGUAUGUUUUCAGCAUACAUAUAUUAUAUGCAUCUGCUGGCUGAUUCCCUUUUCAUGGUUAUACCUUCAUAUUAACAAGGCUGUAUACUUCAGUGAACAUAAAAGGAGUAGGUAAGCUAGAGGGUGUCGACC
This is a long non-coding RNA of Ornithodoros turicata, 578 nucleotides long. RefSeq lists it as uncharacterized. The record is from RefSeq and is a predicted model, not a curated record. The transcript is spliced from 3 exons. Lineage: Eukaryota; Metazoa; Arthropoda; Arachnida; Ixodida; Argasidae.